RNAcentral lists this ribosomal RNA (483 nucleotides) under uncultured bacterium. Its description in RNAcentral is "bacterial SSU rRNA". It matches the Rfam family "Bacterial small subunit ribosomal RNA", at positions 28 to 526 of the family's 1533-position model. The record is from RNAcentral.
GACGAACGCUGGCGGCGUGCUUAACACAUGCAAGUCGAGCGGUAAGGCCUCUUCGGGGGUACACGAGCGGCGAACGGGUGAGUAACACGUGGGUGACCUGCCCCGCACUCUGGGAUAAGCCUGGGAAACUGGGUCUAAUACCGGAUAUGACCUCUUGCUGCAUGGUGGGGGGUGGAAAGUUUUUUCGGUGUGGGAUGGGCCCGCGGCCUAUCAGCUUGUUGGUGGGGUGAUGGCCUACCAAGGCGACGACGGGUAGCCGGCCUGAGAGGGCGACCGGUCACACUGGGACUGAGAUACGGCCCAGACUCCUACGGGAGGCAGCAGUGGGGAAUAUUGCGCAAUGGGCGGAAGCCUGACGCAGCGACGCCGCGUGGGGGAUGACGGCCUUCGGGUUGUAAACCUCUUUCGCCAGGGACGAAGCGAGAGUGACGGUACCUGGAUAAGAAGCACCGGCCAACUACGUGCCAGCAGCCGCCGUAAGAC